CGGAGGGUGCAAACGUUGUUCGGAAUCACUGGGCAUAAAGCGCACGUAGGCGGUCCGCUAAGUCAGAUGUGAAAUCCCCCGGCUCAACCGGGGAACUGCACCUGAUACUGGCGGGCUCGAGGACGGUAGGGGUGAGUGGAACUCCAGGUGGAGCGGUGAAAUGCGUAGAUAUCUGGAGGAACACCGGUGGCGAAAGCGGCUCACUGGACCGUCUCUGACGCUGAGGUGCGAAAGCUAGGGUAGCAAACGGGAUUAGAUACCCCGGUAGUCCUAGCCGUAAACGAUGGGUACUAGGCAAUGGGGUUACCUAUGGACUUCCUUGCCGGAGCAAAUGUAUUAAGUACCCCGCCUGGGGAGUACGCUCGCAAGGGUG
RNAcentral lists this ribosomal RNA (373 nucleotides) under uncultured organism. RNAcentral's name for it is "bacterial SSU rRNA". It matches the Rfam family "Bacterial small subunit ribosomal RNA", at positions 526 to 896 of the family's 1533-position model. The record is from RNAcentral.